CAGUCUUUCCAGAAGCAACAACCGCUUCCCCUCAUGAGUCAUCCUGUCCCCGGACAGCUUUCUUCACCUCUCUGAUACUGCCCCUCCUGCCCACAGUCAGCAGACAGUUGGUGUAACCAAGGCAGAGAAUUCCUACUGCCUGGCCAGGACCUCUGAAGACACAGAGAACUAGGAAGUCUGGGAUGCUACACCCUGCGCCCUCCCCACCCCCGCAGCUGUUUUCAGAAGUUCUAAUGCAAAGUUAAGACUCUGCUAGCUCCUUCCAUGAAUGAGAGACCUCCAUUGGCAGCUGGCUCUUCGAUGGCUGCCUCAAUGGGAAUCACUCAGAAACUGUCAAUGUCUCAGCCGGUAAAUCUGAGGCCCAGCAAUGGACUCAGAGUCAGUGGCGCCUGACAGCCGCUCAGUGGCUGAAGAAGAAAGGAAGCAGGGGUCUCCACUGGUACAUGAUGGAUGUUCCAGGUCCUAUGGCAGUUGCUGGAGUGAGAAGCAAUCCGUCAUCAAUGUUUCUGGCUGCAGUCUGGUCAAAGUUAAGGUCAGCUAAAGAAAGGACACUUCGCAGUGCGAAUAAAACCCAAGCAGGCA
Molecule: long non-coding RNA, 582 nt
Organism: Mastomys coucha (southern multimammate mouse)
Lineage: Eukaryota; Metazoa; Chordata; Mammalia; Rodentia; Muridae
Exons: 4
Source: RefSeq, a predicted model, not a curated record